Molecule: long non-coding RNA, 550 nt
Organism: Psammomys obesus (fat sand rat)
Lineage: Eukaryota; Metazoa; Chordata; Mammalia; Rodentia; Muridae
Exons: 4
Source: RefSeq, a predicted model, not a curated record
CCGCCGCGGAUCUCCGCGAGAGGCUGUGUUCAGUCCCUCUCUGCCUUCUGGACUCAAAAAUAGAAGGCGCACACUGCCACGCAGUCGAUGGCGCUUCUGAAGGCUGCUGAAAACGAAAAUCCACGAAGCCAGUAACCCAUGUACAAAGUGAAAUCCGUAAGAGAAGUUUCAAGCCUGGGCAGGUUGGUGAUCUUCCAAAAUGCAUAUUCAAGAUAGAGCAUCCCAGAGAGACUGGACUGGAUAGAGAAGUGUAAUCCUCUUUCCAUUCUCUUCAAAGCCUGGCUGUUUUGGAUACUUCAUGACCACUCUUGAGUAUACUCCAGCUAUGAGGACCAAGGUCUAUGGCAGCAGAAGACAGGACUUCUCCAGGAGGCCUUGCUCCAGUCACAAUGACUCAAGACAAACUGCACGCCCAAGAUAAAACAAACUCCAGUGAGCUUUAGAUGACCCUGAAGCUCACUUCAGAUGGUAUGGGAGCAUCUGGCCAGUCACUCGGCAAGCGUGCAGUGAUUGAAAUAAAAAAGAAUGAAUAGAAAUAAAAUCAUGAAGA